Molecule: ribosomal RNA, 345 nt
Filed under: uncultured Rhodoferax sp.
Lineage: Bacteria; Pseudomonadati; Pseudomonadota; Betaproteobacteria; Burkholderiales; Comamonadaceae
Description: bacterial SSU rRNA
Rfam family: Bacterial small subunit ribosomal RNA
Source: RNAcentral
CACAGGUGCUGCAUGGCUGUCGUCAGCUCGUGUCGUGAGAUGUUGGUUAAGUCCCGCAACGAGCGCAACCCUUGUCAUUAGUUGCUACAUUCAGUUGGGCACUCUAAUGAGACUGCCGGUGACAAGCCGGAGGAAGUGGGGAUGACGUCAAGUCCUCAUGGCCCUUAUAGGUGGGGCUACACACGUCAUACAAUGGCUGGUACAAAGGGUUGCCAACCCGCGAGGGGGAGCCAAUCCCAUAAAGCCAGUCGUAGUCCGGAUCGUAGUCUGCAACUCGACUACGUGAAGUCGGAAUCGCUAGUAAUCGUGGAUCAGAAUGUCACGGUGAAUACGUUCCCGGGUCUU